This is a long non-coding RNA of Alosa sapidissima (American shad), 321 nucleotides long. RefSeq lists it as uncharacterized. Lineage: Eukaryota; Metazoa; Chordata; Actinopteri; Clupeiformes; Clupeidae. The transcript is spliced from 2 exons. The record is from RefSeq and is a predicted model, not a curated record.
UCCUCCUCCGCCACCUCCUCCACCUGGUGGGGGACCCCCGCCACCCCCCUCCUCCUCCUGGGGGAGGACCUCCACCACCGCCCCCGUUCCCUGGGGCUCCACCUCCGCCCAUGAUGGCCCCCUCCUGUCGUCAAGCUGCCUUACGGACUGGAACCCAAGAAGGUCUACAAGCCUGAAGUGGCCAUGAAGAGGUGAACUGGUCCAAGAUCGUGCCUCAAGAGAUGGCGGAGAACUGCUUCUGGAUCAAAGUGAAGGAGGAGAAGUUUGAGAAUCCAGACCUCCUGGCCCAGCUGUCCCUGAACUUCUCUUCCAAGACCAGAG